This 450-nucleotide ribosomal RNA is filed under the name uncultured bacterium. Its description in RNAcentral is "partial 16S ribosomal RNA". It matches the Rfam family "Bacterial small subunit ribosomal RNA", at positions 354 to 796 of the family's 1533-position model. The record is from RNAcentral.
GUGGGGAAUUUUGGACAAUGGGCGAAAGCCUGAUCCAGCCAUGCCGCGUGCAGGAUGAAGGCCUUCGGGUUGUAAACUGCUUUUGUACGGAACGAAAAGACUCCUUCUAAUAAAGGGGGUCCAUGACGGUACCGUAAGAAUAAGCACCGGCUAACUACGUGCUAGCAGCCGCGGUAAUACGUAGGGUGCAAGCGUUAAUCGGAAUUACUGGGCGUAAAGCGUGCGCAGGCGGUUAUAUAAGACCGAUGUGAAAUCCCCGGGCUCAACCUGGGAACUGCAUUUGUGACUGUAUAGCUAGAGUACGGUAGAGGGGGAUGGAAUUCCGCGUGUAGCAGUGAAAUGCGUAGAUAUGCGGAGGAACACCGAUGGCGAAGGCAAUCCCCUGGACCUGUACUGACGCUCAUGCACGAAAGCGUGGGGAGCAAACAGGAUUAGAAACCCGGGUAGUCC